Molecule: long non-coding RNA, 200 nt
Filed under: Fukomys damarensis (Damara mole-rat)
Lineage: Eukaryota; Metazoa; Chordata; Mammalia; Rodentia; Bathyergidae
Description: lncRNA (ENSFDAG00000029602.1)
Source: RNAcentral
GCUCUACUUGCUCACAUUAGGCUGUGGUGUCCUGGAACCUCCAAUAAAUGCACCCAAGAAGAGACACCCCCAUUUGCCAGAUCAAAGUGUGUGUGCUAUUGAUGCGAAGCGAGAAGAGUAAGUGUGCAUGGAGAGGAGGAGAAAGGUGAAAUGGGUGUAUGGUGCACAUAAUAUCAUCACUGGGGCAAAAGUGAACCGCA